AUUUUAUGAAUUAAAGGGUCAGUUGCUAAACGAAGGAUGACAGUGCUUUUAAGUACCCAUUUCAGAUUGUUUCGAAAAAGUGGAACUAGCUUUUAAUAUUAAAUUGUGCAGUGUCCAAGACGACGAUAGCUAAAUAAUAUAUUCAUAUAUUGCGGUUUUUUUUCACCUUGUCCAGCGAUGGAAACCAGUAAUCAGCGAUCCGCAGGCAAUGAAGCGCUCCAAUAUAUAACAGCAACAACUUACAAAGAUGUCGAAACUAAAUGGAGUUUGCGUGUAUUAUUAAAAAAAAACCAUCCAAGCUGGUCUGGCAGCGAAGAGAAAUAUUAGUACGUCAAAUUAUUUUCCCGCGCUGACUGUAAACGUCAAUCGAGGGGCACAUAUUUGCCGCGCUGGGAACAGAACCCAGGACUUCCAAAUACCGAACGGGCGAAGGGACCGCGCCACAGAGGUCGUCAGUCAUAUGUCGAGAGCGGUGUAUUCAUGUGAUCCUUUAAUGACCUUAAAAUCAUUCGAUAUCGAGCGAAAAUCUCAAUGUUUUUCCGUAAGACAUGUAAAUAGCAUCCCUAAUGCUACUUUUGUGCCGAUGCAAAUAAGCUAACGCUUUCAAUAUCCAAGACAAACCUGUCACCACACAAACAGACAAACAUUCUCAUAACGCGAACUCCGCGGGGUGGAACUAAUUGUCCUCUACGGAACCCAUUCUGAGAACUACGCGCGGUAGGGCCGCCAUUUUCAUAUUGGAGAACGUGAUAUUUCUAAUAAUUGUAUCCUAUCUAUAUCUGUACAAAUUGGCAAACUUAGUCCCAAAAAUCACUGCAUUCUCGUUGAUAAAUUUAUCAAUUAGUGUUAAAUCCAUUAUAUUUCGUGUGAAAAAAUGUCAAGGCAAUUGCAACCACACCAUUAAUAUUUGCCAAGAAAGACGCCGUGUUUACCACGACCCUCAGGGAUGAGGAAUACAACUGUAAGGAGGAGCAUAUCAAAAACAAUAUAAUAUCAAAAAUAAUAAACCUUAUUUUUUUUACUA
This is a long non-coding RNA of Plodia interpunctella (Indianmeal moth), 1024 nucleotides long. RefSeq lists it as uncharacterized. The record is from RefSeq and is a predicted model, not a curated record. NCBI's taxonomy places the organism in Eukaryota, Metazoa, Arthropoda, Insecta, Lepidoptera, Pyralidae. The transcript is spliced from 3 exons.